This is a long non-coding RNA of Cyanistes caeruleus (blue tit), 713 nucleotides long. The record is from Ensembl. Lineage: Eukaryota; Metazoa; Chordata; Aves; Passeriformes; Paridae.
GGGCACUGGCCGAGCCUGGCGGGGCGAGGAAUUUACUGCUUUCCCUUCUCCCCUGCACCCCGGCUUAGCUGGCGCGGUUUCAGCGAGGUAAAAUGCAGCGCUUCUAGCGAAGGUAGCGAGCCUCGAAGAGCGCGAUUAUUUUAAAAAGGAGAAAGAAGUCUGCUUCUGCAUAAGUGCCUGUGGGCAACAGGGAAGCAAGAAAGGGAAGCAUUGCCUUGUGGUACUCUCCGUGCAUCUGGGAACUGCUCCAGCACAGCCCAGGAAGAACAGGCCUGGAAAUCAGUGUGGUGAUUUAUUUCAGAACAGUGUGGCUGAUUUCCAUGCAUCUACUGAACACAGCAGACCAGCCUAUGAUGAUGCCCUCUUCAGAAUGGUAUUUCGUCACCAACAGCUGUGUUUUUUCACACUGAGCUGUGCCUUGGAUACUCAGCCUUGUGCCUACCCUGAGGGGUGCUGCUUCUUCAAGGGUGAGCAGCAGAAGCCCACUGCUGCGCAAGCGACGACUGUGGUGAGAGUGCUCUGCGGACUCUGAGUCUGUCAGCACUGCAGUGGGCAGAGAGCUUCGCAGGUUAGAGUCCCCUGGGUCAAUGACUGCAGAGCAAAAAUGAGGAAGAAGAGCAGCUACACAGAAAUGUUGCUCUGUUCCCUCCAGAGAAUUAGAAAUAUGUAAAACAAUCAAUAAAAUGCCCAGUAGUGGCUGGACUCUUAUUGCU